AAGUGUGGACGCCAGUCUGCAUGGAGCCGACCUUGAAAUACCACCCUUUAAUGUUUGAUGUUCUAACGUUGACCCGUAAUCCGGGUUGCGGACAGUGUCUGGUGGGUAGUUUGACUGGGGCGGUCUCCUCCUAAAGAGUAACGGAGGAGCACGAAGGUUGGCUAAUCCUGGUCGGACAUCAGGAGGUUAGUGCAAUGGCAUAAGCCAGCUUGACUGCGAGCGUGACGGCGCGAGCAGGUGCGAAAGCAGGUCAUAGUGAUCCGGUGGUUCUGAAUGGAAGGGCCAUCGCUCAACGGAUAAAAGGUACUCCGGGGAUAACAGGCUGAUACCGCCCAAGAGUUCAUAUCGACGGCGGUGUUUGGCACCUCGAUGUCGGCUCAUCACAUCCUGGGGCUGAAGUAGGUCCCAAGGGUAUGGCUGUUCGCCAUUUAAAGUGGUACGCGAGCUGGGUUUAGAACGUCGUGAGACAGUUCGGUCCCUAUCUGCCGUGGGCGCUGGAGAACUGAGGGGGGCUGCUCCUAGUACGAGA
RNAcentral lists this ribosomal RNA (529 nucleotides) under Escherichia coli. RNAcentral describes it as "partial 23S ribosomal RNA". It matches the Rfam family "Bacterial large subunit ribosomal RNA", at positions 2160 to 2688 of the family's 2925-position model. Lineage: Bacteria; Pseudomonadati; Pseudomonadota; Gammaproteobacteria; Enterobacterales; Enterobacteriaceae. The record is from RNAcentral.